CAUCCGCCCCCACCCCCCCCGUGCCCCACAGCCCCCCCGUGCCCCACGGCACUCACGGGUGUCUCCGACGCUGGUGCAGACCCAGCCGUGGGUCUGGUUGUGGGGCAGGCAGUCGUACCAGAGGUUCAGCGUCUCCCCAUCCGGCAGCACCCACCAGGCCUGUGGGGCAGGACGUGUGGGGCCCAGAUGCCGGGGUGCCCUGCUGUGGGGCACGCUAUGGGGCCCGGAUGCAUGGGUCUGUGGUUGUGGGUCGCGCUAUGGGUCACAGACACCUGGGUCUGUGGUUGUGGGGUGCGCUGUGGGUCACAGACACCUGGGUCUGUGGUUGUGGGGUGCGCUGUGGGUCACAGACACCUGGGUCUGUGGUUGUGGGGUGCGCUGUGGGUCACAGACACCUGGGUCUGUGGUUGUGGGUCGCGCUAUGGGUCACAGACACCUGGGUCUGUGGUUGUGGGGUGCGCUGUGGGUCACAGACACCUGGGUCUGUGGUUGUGGGGUGCGCUGUGGGUCACAGACACCUGGGUCUGUGGUUGUGGGGUGCGCUGUGGGUCACAGACACCUGGGUCUGUGGUUGUGGGGUGCGCUGUGGGUCACAGACACCUGGGUCUGUGGUUGUGGGGUGCGCUGUGGGUCACAGACACCUGGGUCUGUGGUUGUGGGGUGCGCUGUGGGUCACAGACACCUGGGUCUGUGGUUGUGGGGUGCGCUGUGGGUCACAGACACCUGGGUCUGUGGUUGUGGGGUGCGCUGUGGGUCACAGACACCUGGGUCUGUGGUUGUGGGGUGCGCUGUGGGUCACAGACACCUGGGUCUGUGGUUGUGGGGUGCGCUGUGGGUCACAGAGAGCUGGGUCUGUGGUUGUGGGGCACACUAUGGGUCACGUUGCUAUGGGUCACAGAUCUAUGGGUCACGCUAUGGGUCACAGACACCCGGGUCUGUGGUUGUGGGUUGCGCUGUGGGUCCUGGAGGCGUGGGUCUGUGGUUGUGGGUCACGCUAUGGGUUGUGCUAUGGGUCACGCUAUGGGUCACAGACGCCUGGGUCUGUGGUUGUGGGGCGCGCUGUGGGUCCCAGACGCUUGGGUGCCCCGGUGUGGGUCACGCUAUGGGUCAGAGAUCUAUGAGAUCAUGGGGAGAGACGGAUCUAUGGGGCACAGAUCUAUGGGUCACGGAUCUAUGGGUCAUGGAUCAAUGGGUCAUGGAUCUAUGGGACACGGAUCUAUGGGUCACGGACCUAUGGGUCACGCCGUGGGUCACGGAUCUAUGGGGCAUGAAUCUAUGGGUCAUGGAUCUAUGGGACACGGAUCUAUGGGUCACGGACCUAUGGGUCACGCCGUGGGUCACGGAUCUAUGGGGCAUGAAUCUAUGGGUCAUGGAUCUAUGGGACACGGAUCUAUGGGUCGCGAAUCUAUGGGUCAGGGAUCUAUGGAUCACAGAUCU
Molecule: long non-coding RNA, 1437 nt
Filed under: Calidris pugnax (ruff)
Lineage: Eukaryota; Metazoa; Chordata; Aves; Charadriiformes; Scolopacidae
Description: lncRNA (ENSCPUG00000001808.1)
Source: RNAcentral